RNAcentral lists this ribosomal RNA (370 nucleotides) under uncultured organism. Its description in RNAcentral is "bacterial SSU rRNA". It matches the Rfam family "Bacterial small subunit ribosomal RNA", at positions 526 to 896 of the family's 1533-position model. The record is from RNAcentral.
CGUAGGGUGCGAGCGUUAAUCGGAAUUACUGGGCGUAAAGCGUGCGCAGGCGGUUAUGUAAGACAGAUGUGAAAUCCCCGGGCUCAACCCGGGAACUGCAUUUGUGACUGCAUGGCUAGAGUACGGUAGAGGGGGAUGGAAUUCCGCGUGUAGCAGUGAAAUGCGUAGAUAUGCGGAGGAACACCGAUGGCGAAGGCAAUCCCCUGGACCUGUACUGACGCUCAUGCACGAAAGCGUGGGGAGCAAACAGGAUUAGAUACCCUGGUAGUCCACGCCCUAAACGAUGUCAACUGGUUGUUGGGAAUUAGUUUUCUCAGUAACGAAGCUAACGCGUGAAGUUGACCGCCUGGGGAGUACGGCCGCAAGGUUG